This 95-nucleotide microRNA precursor is filed under the name Sorghum bicolor (sorghum). RNAcentral describes it as "MIR5387 microRNA precursor family". It matches the Rfam family "MIR5387 microRNA precursor family". Lineage: Eukaryota; Viridiplantae; Streptophyta; Magnoliopsida; Poales; Poaceae. The record is from Rfam by way of RNAcentral.
CCGUGGCACUGGCCGGUGCUAAAGGGUCUCUGCCCCGACAGCACCUGUCAGUAGCCAUUGGGCAGGGACCCUUUAGCACCGGUUCUUGUUACGAA